GUGGCGGCCCCGGCCAUCACCGCGAUCAGCAGGCACAUCGGCACGAAGAAGCUGCGCCGCUGCAGCAGCGGCACCGUCAUCUGCUUCGUCCCGAAGAACAGCACGCCGUAGGUGAAGAUGAACCCG
RNAcentral lists this unclassified non-coding RNA (126 nucleotides) under fungal sp. RNAcentral's name for it is "partial internal transcribed spacer region". Lineage: Eukaryota; Fungi. The record is from RNAcentral.